GCUACCUGAUUCAGCGGCGGACGGGUGAGUAAUGCCUAGGAAUCUGCCCGAUAGUGGGGGACAACGUUUCGAAAGGAACGCUAAUACCGCAUACGUCCUACGGGAGAAAGUGGGGGAUCUUCGGACCUCACGCUAUCGGAUGAGCCUAGGUCGGAUUAGCUAGUUGGUGAGGUAAUGGCUCACCAAGGCGACGAUCCGUAACUGGUCUGAGAGGAUGAUCAGUCACACUGGAACUGAGACACGGUCCAGACUCCUACGGGAGGCAGCAGUGGGGAAUAUUGGACAAUGGGCGAAAGCCUGAUCCAGCCAUGCCGCGUGUGCGAAGAAGGUCUUCGGAUUGUAAAGCACUUUAAGUUGGGAGGAAGGGCAGUAAGCUAAUACCUUGCUGUUUUGACGUUACCAACAGAAUAAGCACCGGCUAACUUCGUGCCAGCAGCCGCGGUAAUACGAAGGGUGCAAGCGUUAAUCGGAAUUACUGGGCGUAAAGCGCGCGUAGGUGGUUCAGCAAGUUGGAUGUGAAAUCCCCGGGCUCAACCUGGGAACUGCAUCCAAAACUACUGAGCUAGAGUACGGUAGAGGGUGGUGGAAUUUCCUGUGUAG
RNAcentral lists this ribosomal RNA (600 nucleotides) under uncultured bacterium. RNAcentral describes it as "bacterial SSU rRNA". It matches the Rfam family "Bacterial small subunit ribosomal RNA", at positions 82 to 678 of the family's 1533-position model. The record is from RNAcentral.